Molecule: long non-coding RNA, 201 nt
Filed under: Homo sapiens (human)
Lineage: Eukaryota; Metazoa; Chordata; Mammalia; Primates; Hominidae
Description: HSALNT0170093
Source: RNAcentral
CGCAGAGUGCAGUGUCAACAGAAAUGCUACAGUGACAUUUCUCUCUCUCUCAAUUACUUGUAGGCUUUUCACUGCCUGUAUAAAAUACAUAUUGUGCUCCAGCGAGAUCCAUUGUACCGAGGUCAGCGGGAACUCAUUGUCCUUUUUAGCUUCAGAACAAGACAAUACUGACAUCUGUAAGAUUUGCUGUAAAUAAUCCAA